AAAACAUGUCUUUUUGAUAAAAAUUUAAAGUCAGGUCUGCUCACUGAAUUAUUUAAAGAGCCGCAGUAUAUUGACUGUGCAAAGGUAGCAUAAUCAAUAGUUUUUUAAUUGGAAACUAGAAUGAAAGAUUAGACGAAAAAUUAAUUUUCUUUGUUUUAAUAAAUUUAAUUUUAAAUUUAAGUGAAAAUGCUUAAAUAUAAUUAAAAGACGAGAAGACCCUAUAGAUUUUUAUUAUUGAAAUGAAUUUUUAAAUUUAAUUUAAUAAAAUAAUUUAAUUGGGGCGAUUUUAUAAUAUAAAUAACUUAAUUUUUUUUAACCAUAAAUAAUUGAAUAUUUGAUCUAAAAUUUUUAAAGAAAAGAUUAAAUUACCUUAGGGAUAACAGCGUAAUUUUAUUUAAGAGUUCAUAUCUAUAAUAAAGUUUGCGACCUCGAUGUUGAAUUAAGAUAAUAUAUUGGAGUAGAAAUUAAUAUAAUUAGUCUGUUCGACUAUUAAAUUCUUACGUGAUCUG
This 509-nucleotide ribosomal RNA is filed under the name Ptycta apicantha. Its description in RNAcentral is "partial 16S ribosomal RNA". The stretch from base 376 to 509 matches the Rfam family "Bacterial large subunit ribosomal RNA", at positions 2473 to 2607 of the family's 2925-position model. The record is from RNAcentral. Lineage: Eukaryota; Metazoa; Arthropoda; Insecta; Psocodea; Psocidae.